Molecule: ribosomal RNA, 338 nt
Filed under: Centruroides nigrimanus
Lineage: Eukaryota; Metazoa; Arthropoda; Arachnida; Scorpiones; Buthidae
Description: partial 12S ribosomal RNA
Source: RNAcentral
AAAAGAGUAUGAAAUUUAGGUAGUAUUGGAUGUCUUAAAACUUAAAAAUUUUGGCGGUGUUUUAAUCUUAUCAGAGGAAUCUGUUUUGUAAUCGAUAAUACACGACAUAUCUUGCUUGAGUUUGUGGUUUGUAUAUCGUUGUGAUAAUGAUGUUUUAUAACUAUUGUUGGGGGUAAUUCUAUUUUUAAUAUCAGAUCAAGGUUCAGCUUAUGCUUAAGAGUAAAAUGGAUUACAAUAUAGAGAUAUAUUUACGGAGUUUAUUUUUAAAUGGCAGAUGAAGGGGGAUUUGAAAGUAUUUUUGUAAUAAUAUGUUGAAUUGAAUUAGCUCUAAAACAUGC